Macrobrachium nipponense is the source of this 315-nucleotide long non-coding RNA. RefSeq lists it as uncharacterized. The record is from RefSeq and is a predicted model, not a curated record. Lineage: Eukaryota; Metazoa; Arthropoda; Malacostraca; Decapoda; Palaemonidae. The transcript is spliced from 3 exons.
UCCAGAACCCCCUGAAUGAUGUAGGCUAUGGGGCCACAUAAGACUUUGUCCAUCCAGGGUUACGUUGAAUGCCAAAUUUAAACUAAAGAACCCCCUGAAUGAUGUAGGCUAUGGGGCCACAUAAGACUUUGUGCAUCCAGGGUUACGUUGAAAGACAAAUUUAAACUAAAAAGCUACCAGACUGGGAUUUUAGUGUACUCCAGGAUCUAACAAAUACUACUACGAAGUGUACAGUGCAUAAUAUAGUGUUUAGUGUAUAAUCUAACCUAAGGAUUAAGUGUAGUACAUUGUGCUUUUUAGUGUCACAAGAGUUUA